AUUGAACGCUGGCGGCAGGCCUAAUACAUGCAAGUCGAACGAGUGGCGGACGGGCGAGUAAUUUAUUGAAAACUGCCUAAAGGAGGGGGAUAACUAGUGGAAACGGUAGAUAAUACCGCAUAACAUGGGAUGUGCCCAGAUGGGAUGAGCUAGGAGGUGGGGGAAAGGCUCACUUAGGCGACGCUGCCUAGCUGGUCUGAGAGUGUGAACGGCCACACGGGAACUGAGACACGGCCCAGACUCCUACGGGAGGCAGCAGUGGUGAAUAUUCCACAAUGGGCGCAAGUCUGAUGGAGCCAUGCCGCGUGAAUGAAGAAGGCUUUCGGGUUGUAAAGCACUUUCAGCGGGGAGGCGUUAUCCGCACAAAAAGCAACGGCUAACUCCGUGCCAGCAGCCGCGGUAAUAC
RNAcentral lists this ribosomal RNA (406 nucleotides) under uncultured bacterium. RNAcentral's name for it is "partial 16S ribosomal RNA". It matches the Rfam family "Bacterial small subunit ribosomal RNA", at positions 30 to 526 of the family's 1533-position model. The record is from RNAcentral.